This 254-nucleotide ribosomal RNA is filed under the name uncultured bacterium. RNAcentral's name for it is "partial 16S ribosomal RNA". It matches the Rfam family "Bacterial small subunit ribosomal RNA", at positions 524 to 776 of the family's 1533-position model. The record is from RNAcentral.
UACGGGGGGAGCAAGCGUUGUUCGGAUUUACUGGGCGUAAAGGGCGCGUAGGCGGUCGUGACAAGUCACUUGUGAAAUCUCCGAGCUUAACUCGGAACGGUCAACUGAUACUGUGCGGCUAGAGUGCGGAAGGGGCAACUGGAAUUCUUGGUGUAGCGGUGAAAUGCGUAGAUAUCAAGAGGAACACCUGCGGCGAAGGCGGGUUGCUGGGCCGACACUGACGCUGAGGCGCGAAAGCCAGGGGAGCGAACGGG